Molecule: ribosomal RNA, 460 nt
Filed under: uncultured bacterium
Lineage: Bacteria
Description: partial 16S ribosomal RNA
Rfam family: Bacterial small subunit ribosomal RNA
Source: RNAcentral
CCUACGGGUGGCAGCAGUGAGGAAUAUUGGUCAAUGGGGGCAACUCUGAACCAGCCAAGUAGCGUGCAUGAUGACGGCCCUAUGCGCUGUAAACUCCUUUUAUACGGGAGUAAACUGAGGCACGUGUGCCUUAUUGCACGUACCUCAUGAAUCAGGACCGGCUAAUUCCGUGCCAGCAGCCGCGGUAAUACGGAGGUUCCGGGCGUUAUCCGGAUUUACUGGGUUUAAAGGGCGCGUAGAGGGGAAUUUAAGUCAGGAGUGAAAGUUUGGGGCUCAACCGCAGGACUGCAAUUGAAACUGGAAGCCUUGAGUACAGGAGAGGCAGGCGGAAUGCGUGGUGUAGCGGUGAAAUGCUUAGAUAUCACGAAGAACACCGAUUGCGAAGGCAGCCUACUGGACUGCGACUGACGUUGAGGCCCGAAAGUGUGGGGAGCAAACAGGAUUAGAUACCCGAGUAGUC